This 254-nucleotide ribosomal RNA is filed under the name uncultured bacterium. RNAcentral's name for it is "partial 16S ribosomal RNA". It matches the Rfam family "Bacterial small subunit ribosomal RNA", at positions 524 to 776 of the family's 1533-position model. The record is from RNAcentral.
UACGGGGGGAGCAAGCGUUGUUCGGAUUUACUGGGCGUAAAGGGCGCGUAGGCGGCCACCGCAGGUCGACUGUGAAAUCUCCGGGCUUAACCCGGAAAGGUCAGCCGAUACUGCGGGGCUAGAGUGCAGAAGGGGCAACUGGAAUUCUCGGUGUAGCGGUGAAAUGCGUAGAUAUCGAGAGGAACACCUGCGGCGAAGGCGGGUUGCUGGGCUGACACUGACGCUGAGGAGCGAAAGCUAGGGGAGCAAACGGG